AGGUCAAAUACGUCAGGGAGCUGCGCCUGUUUUGCCACAUCUACAAUUCUUUUUCAGCAAACCACCAUUCUGUCAGUUGUUCUGACAGAGGGCUUUAUUCUAAAACAUUUUCCAGCCAAACUGAGUCAUGGGAAACAAGAGAACUAAGACAGUGGAGGACAGUACUGACAGUGAUGGCAGCUAUAAUGAACGGCGUCUAGACUUUGCUGAUGAAGGAGAACUUUCUGAUGACCUCCUCGACUGCAGCAAAGAGUUCAUAAAACUUUAUGAACAACAUCAGCCUAAACUUCAACAAAUCAACCAGCUGUCAGCGUACAAUGAGGAGUUUUCUGAUGAAUUCAGCAGAACAACUGAAGUCAUGAGAAGAGCAGUAACUGGACUUUUAGGUGCAGCUUUAGUUGGUGUUCUGAUUACCUUCAUUGCUUGUGCUUCUUUGUUAUGACAGGAUCAUUGGUUCUGGUAGUAGUUCUGGCAUUGAUAUUGACAAAAAACACUGGAUAGGGCAGACACUAUGAGGUGGACACUGAGACUUCAGCAGCAUCAGGUAUGGCAUGGGCAGUGGGUGUAACGGGCAGUGGUAUGUGUAGUGGGUGUUUUAGGGGGUGCAAGUAUGUCUCUGUGUGUGUGUGUGUGUGUUAGUGGGUAUGAAAUCAGCAGCUACUAGUAGUACCUGAAGUAGAAAGACUCCCAUUUAAUAAAAACAAACAAAAAGAGAAGAAGCUCCUACAGGAGG
Molecule: long non-coding RNA, 733 nt
Organism: Colossoma macropomum (tambaqui)
Lineage: Eukaryota; Metazoa; Chordata; Actinopteri; Characiformes; Serrasalmidae
Exons: 3
Source: RefSeq, a predicted model, not a curated record